GGAUAGUUGAGGAUUUUUUUUGGUUUUUGGUAAUGUGAGUUUAUUUUUGAGUUUUUAAAUGUUUU
RNAcentral lists this transfer RNA (65 nucleotides) under Dracunculus medinensis (Guinea worm). RNAcentral's name for it is "tRNA-Ser". The record is from RNAcentral. Lineage: Eukaryota; Metazoa; Nematoda; Chromadorea; Rhabditida; Dracunculidae.